GGACCUUCUCCUCUUCAAUACUUUCAUCAAGUACAUGUUGUCUUGUUCUUUACCUUCACCAUACUUCCAAUUCUAAAUAGUUUCUUCAUCAUCGAACUCAAUAUUUUCUAAGAAUCUUACUUUUUUGAUAAGAAGAUUAUAUAGUUUGUAGCCAUUUGAAUUUUUUUGAUAGCCAACAAGAACAUAUUUUUCACUUUUAUCUUCUAAUUUUAUUUUUCUUUCUUCGAGCACUUUGCAAUAAGCAAUACUCUUAAAUAUUCUCAAGU
RNAcentral lists this long non-coding RNA (266 nucleotides) under Elaeis guineensis (African oil palm). RNAcentral describes it as "long non-coding RNA (EGUI_LNC042799)". The record is from RNAcentral. Lineage: Eukaryota; Viridiplantae; Streptophyta; Magnoliopsida; Arecales; Arecaceae.